CUAUAAUUCUAUAUCAAGUGAAAAGCUUUAUAGAAUUUUUCUUAAAUGUCAAACUUCCAUUCAGGAUGACAACUACCUUUUUCCUCCUCUUCCCACAGCCACUCCUACUGUCCCAGACCGUUCAGGUCUUGAGGAGCGUAGCCAGCGAAACCAAACUGGAUCAGCCCCGCUGGGAAGGCGGUUUCAUCAUCACCUCAUUUUACAGUACAACGGAUCUUUCUUUGAAGACUAGAGGCCUCUUAAAUGUUAUCAACAACAACAACAAAAUACCCAUUGCAUAAGCCUUGGACAACAAAAGCUUAAUUUCAUAUUAUAGGCACCUAAUGGGCAGUGUAAACGGUGAGAUAUAUCAGACAAUAGAAAGGAAGAGAUAUUUUUACUAUAAUGUCAA
RNAcentral lists this long non-coding RNA (391 nucleotides) under Mustela putorius furo (domestic ferret). RNAcentral's name for it is "lncRNA (ENSMPUG00000027635.1)". Lineage: Eukaryota; Metazoa; Chordata; Mammalia; Carnivora; Mustelidae. The record is from RNAcentral.